Molecule: ribosomal RNA, 393 nt
Filed under: uncultured bacterium
Lineage: Bacteria
Description: bacterial SSU rRNA
Rfam family: Bacterial small subunit ribosomal RNA
Source: RNAcentral
GACGAACGCUGGCGGCGUGCUUAACACAUGCAAGUCGAGCGGUAAGGCCCUUUCGGGGGUACACGAGCGGCGAACGGGUGAGUAACACGUGGGUGACCUGCCCUCAGCUCUGGGAUAAGCCUGGGAAACCGGGUCUAAUACUGGAUAUGACUCCAUGACGCAUGUUGUGGGGUGGAAAGCCUUGUGCGGCUGAGGAUGGGCCCGCGGCCUAUCAGCUUGUUGGUGGGGUGANGGCCUACCAAGGCGACGACGGGUAGCCGGCCUGAGAGGGCGACCGGCCACACUGGGACUGAGACACGGCCCAGACUCCUACGGGAGGCGGCAGUGGGGAAUCUUGCGCAAUGGGCGAAAGCCUGACGCAGCGACGCCGCGUGAGGGAUGACGGCCUGGUGU